This 482-nucleotide ribosomal RNA is filed under the name uncultured bacterium. RNAcentral's name for it is "bacterial SSU rRNA". It matches the Rfam family "Bacterial small subunit ribosomal RNA", at positions 19 to 518 of the family's 1533-position model. The record is from RNAcentral.
CUGGCUCAGGACGAACGCUGGCGGCGUGCCUAACACAUGCAAGUCGAGCGAGGAGAUCCUCGGGAUGAUCCUAGCGGCGGACGGGUGAGUAACACGUGGGCAACCUGCCUCAUAGAGAGGAAUAGCCUUCCGAAAGGGAGAUUAAUACCUCAUAACAUUGCAGUUUCGCAUGGAACAGCAAAUUAAAGGAGUAAUCCACUAUGAGAUGGGCCCGCGGCGCAUUAGCUAGUUGGUGAGGUAAUGGCUCACCAAGGCGACGAUGCGUAGCCGACCUGAGAGGGUGAUCGGCCACAUUGGGACUGAGACACGGCCCAGACUCCUACGGGAGGCAGCAGUGGGGAAUAUUGCACAAUGGGGGAAACCCUGAUGCCAGCAACGCCGCGUGAGUGAUGACGGCCUUCGGGUUGUAAAGCUCUGUCUUCAGGGACGAUAAUGACGGUACCUGAGGAGGAAGCCACGGCUAACUACGUGCCAGCCGCCGC